CCUACGGGACGCAGCAGUGAGGAAUCUUCCACAAUGGGCGAAAGCCUGAUGGAGCAACGCCGCGUGAAGGAUGAAGGCCUUCGGGUUGUAAACUUCUUUUAUGAGUGAAGAAUAUGACGGUAACUCAUGAAUAAGCACCGGCUAACUACGUGCCAGCAGCCGCGGUCAUACGUAGGGUGCGAGCAUUAUCCGGAGUGACUGGGCGUAAAGAGUUGCGUAGGCGGUUUAAUAAGUGAAUAGUGAAACCUGGUGGCUCAACCAUACAGACUAUUAUUCAAACUGUUAAACUCGAGAAUGGUAGAGGG
This 305-nucleotide ribosomal RNA is filed under the name uncultured bacterium. Its description in RNAcentral is "bacterial SSU rRNA". It matches the Rfam family "Bacterial small subunit ribosomal RNA", at positions 338 to 658 of the family's 1533-position model. The record is from RNAcentral.